This 460-nucleotide ribosomal RNA is filed under the name uncultured bacterium. Its description in RNAcentral is "partial 16S ribosomal RNA". It matches the Rfam family "Bacterial small subunit ribosomal RNA", at positions 338 to 795 of the family's 1533-position model. The record is from RNAcentral.
CCUACGGGAGGCAGCAGUGAGGAAUAUUGGUCAAUGGGCGCAAGCCUGAACCAGCCAAGUCGCGUGAGGGAUGACGGUCCUAUGGAUUGUAAACCUCUUUUGUCGGGGAGCAAGGCCCGCCACGUGUGGCGGGAAGGAGAGUACCCGAAGAAAAAGCAUCGGCUAACUCCGUGCCAGCAGCCGCGGUAAUACGGAGGAAGCGAGCGUUAUCCGGAUUUAUUGGGUUUAAAGGGUGCGUAGGCGGAAGGUUAAGUGAGCGGUAAAAUGUCGGUGCUCAACACCGGCCUGCCGUUGAAACUGGUCUUCUUGAGUGAGCGAGAAGUAUGCGGAAUGCGUGGUGUAGCGGUGAAAUGCAUAGAUAUCACGCAGAACUCCGAUUGCGAAGGCAGCAUACCGGCGCUCAACUGACGCUGAGGCACGAAAGCGUGGGGAUCGAACAGGAUUAGAUACCCCGGUAGUC